ACUCUGCUGUGCACCAAUGGGGCUCCUGCUCUGGCUAGAGCAGGUCCGCCUCCAACCCUUCGGGACCAUUUAGAAGGCGACACGACAAGACUCUACCUACAUUAUUCAAUGUAUAAAAACUAUUGUAACCUCUGUAUAGGUCCCUUUUCUGCUGACUCCUUACUGAGUCAAAUGACUAGGUCUGUGCACGUUAAAUCUGCAGGACAACAUAUCUUUUGACUCAAUAAACUGCCUUUUGUUACAACUGAAAUCCACUCUGUUCAGCGUCCGUGAUUUGGUCUCUCUCUCUCAUAGUUUAUCAUCAACACCAGUAAAGCCUGGAACAUAUUCUUGGACACAGGACCUCAAGAUGUGAUGAGCCAGAGCAACCAAUCAGCUUCACUGCAGCUGCUCAACCCACUGUUCUCCCUCCACAAGUAACCACAUCCUCUUCUCCUGUUCAACUACUUUGCCACCACACCAAAAAUGACUGUACAUAUACCCCUGUGCCAUCUCAGUGGAAGAUGAUCCAUCCAAGGCCUCAGCUGAAUGCCUUUAAUGUGAGAAAUGUAUUCAAGAUUCCAUAGUGUGUGUGUGUGUGUAGUUCCAAGUAAAGACUUGAGAAGGGUUCCACCUAGACACAGAAGGGGUUCUACCUGGAACCAAAAAGGGGUAUCCUAUGGGGACAGCGGAAGAAUCCUGUUAGUUUGUAGAUAGCACCUUUUUAUCUGAGUGUAGGCCUAUAUUUCAGUCGUGGUUCCAUGGAUAUCCGUGAAAAAUAACCUUCAUUGGUAGUGAGUUAAUCAUAAAUACUAUGAAACCUUCCCACUUAGCACACAUUUGCAAGCAGACAAAGUAACCUAUCCUAUGCUGAGGCAUGUGUGAUCACUCAACAUUGACAGGACCAACAUAAAAGACAUGCUUGGGACUCCUGAGUGGCGCAGCGGUCUAAGGCACUACAUCCCAGUGGCAUCACUACAGACCCUAGUUGGUUUCCAGGCUGUAUCACAACCAGCUGGGUGUCCCAUAGGGUGGCACACAAUUGGCCCAGUGUCAUCUAGGUUAGGGUUUGGCCGGGGUAGGUCGUCAUUGUAAACAAGAAUUUGUUCUUAACUGGCGUGCGUAGUUAAAUAAAGGUUCAAUAAAAAAAUAUAUAAAAAACAUGCAAACAAAAGAUGACGUGUCUAUCUUGCACCGUUAUGCAAUUAUUAGGAGACGAGAUACGUUGCUACAUUGAGCCCCCCCCCAUUUAUUUUGUACAAUGCUGCUACUCGCUGUUUAUUAUCUAUAUCUAUGCAUAGUCACUUCACCCCUAUCUACAUGUACAAAUGACCUCAACUAACCUCUACCCCUGCACAAUGACUCGGUACCGGUACCCCCUGUAUAUAGCAUCGUUAUUGUUAUGUUAGUUUAAAAAAAUAUAUAUAUUUUAUUUUUACUUUAUUUUGUAAAUAUUCUCUUUAUCUUCUUGAACUGCACUGUUGGUUAAGGGCUUGUAAGUACGCAUUUUACGGAAAAGUCUACACUUGUUGUAUUCGGCGCAUGUGACAAAGUUUGAUUUGAAAUAGAUAAUCCUGGCUACCAAUGUUCUAGCAUUAAUUUAUUGAGGCAUGCAAUCAGAGAUGUCAAGGUGGUCCUCAAGCAUAUGCCAUGUGUAUGUAACACACAUAUGUAUGGUCAUAUUUUUUGUUUUGUAUAUUUUGCCUCCUAGGUAUUUGCAUUUAACGUAUGUAUAUAAUUACUGCCGCUAGGGGGAGCUGUGUCAUCAAUGAAGUGUUUUUAAAGCGUUUAAACAAAUAUAUAUUAACAGUAACAUGCAAAACAACAGCCAGAGGUAUUCCACAAAGAAAUGUAAAAAACAUUAAACUAAUCCACAUUAUAUCAAUUCAAAUACAGACAUGUAGCGAAUACAUUUUUAAAAACAUUUUGUUUUGUAUACGUUUUAAUGACUCUAAAAAAUUAAGAAAAGGGUAUUUUUCUUCAUAACUUUUUAUUUGUGUAUGAAAUUUUUUCCUAAUAAAAUAAAGAGAUUUAUGACAUACUCAUGUUCAAUUGUGGAAUCAGUGUAGUAAAAUUAUAUGUCAAACUUAGACAUUCCAAUGGUUGUAUGCAUUUUGAGGCCAAGAUAUAGUUUUACAUCAGUCCAGAACACUUCACUAUAUAAACAAUGACAGAAUAAGUGUUCAAUAGAUUCAGUUUCUAGUUCACAAAACUGCAUUCACUGGUAACAUCAGGUAUAUAUUUAGAAAUCAUGCUAUUACACGGAUAGAAUCUAUGGAUAAUCUUGAAGGAGAUCUCCUUUACUUAUUGGUCACCAUAAAUUUGUGUGUAGUGAGCCAAGCACGGCGCCAGUUCACAUCAAACGAUGAAGCCCAACAAAAUAUCGCAGAGGGAAUAGACUUCCUGUAGAAAAUAUCCCUUAAUAAACGAUUGUUGAAUUUCGUAUCUAGUAGACCUAUGCCAUUCACCUGGAUAUUGCUUCAAUCUGAGAUAUUCCAAAAUAUGCAUUAUUCUGAAGUAAAGUUUUUAUCCCACUAGGUAUAGCUUAAAUAACAGUGUCAUAUUCCUUGCUUGAAACCUCAAAGUGUCUUUCCAUUAAUUCUCUCCGCUUAAAUAGAUUCCCACUAAUAUUAACUAAUUGGCUGACAAGGACAAUGAUUUUCGAGAACCAUUUAUGCUAAAAUAACAUCUUGUUUCUAUAUAAUAUCGACCCAUUGUUCCAUAUAAAACAUUUAUGAGGUGAAAAGUUGUGUUUUAUACAACAAAGCCCAGCACAUUAAAGCCUGCUUGUGAAAAGCCACCAGUUUCACAGGAAGUUUCCCCACAAUAUAUGGAGGUUGUAGUAAAAAAUUAAGCCCUCCGAACUUCUGAAAAACAAAAAAAGGUAUAAUAUUCCAGAAACUAUGAGGAUUUUUUAUGUACCUUUUAAUCCAGUUGACAUUUGAUAUCUGAUUGAAGAGAGUGAAGUCUAAGACAUUUAGACUGACAUCACAAACCCUGUUGGUGGUAACAUCUCUUUUAAUCUAAUGUGGCUUGUUUUUCCAUAUGAAAUUGUACAAUAGCCUAGCUAUUGGGAAUGUCAAUAGAUGAAAAAAGAUAGGAUACACGAGAUAGCCCCUCAGCUUUGGAUAAAAGCACCCUUCCUUGAAGACUUAAAUCCCUCCCUAACCAUGAGGAUAAUUUCUUUUGACAGAUUCAAUUACAGGGUUCAAAUUAAGAUAAUUCACAGCCUUAAGAUUUUUGGUGAUCUUUACACUGAGGUAGAUUACAGUUUCUUUUUCAGAGAUGUUACAAUUUGCUGGAUUGACAGCUCCUUUCAAAACAAACAUCUCACAUUUGCAAAGAUGUAAUACCAAACCUGAGAUUUUGGAGAACUGCUUCACGAUAUCCAAUGCUAAUCUAGCUUGUGACACAUUUGUCAAAAAAAGUGAAGUGUCAUCCGCUAUUUGGGAUAUCUUGAUCUCUCUUGCCUGGAACAUAAUGCCUUCAAAUGGACUUUUAUUUACUAAUGAGCGUAACAUUUGAGAUACUACUUUUUUUUUUUAAAGGUGAAAUUGGACAACCUUGUCGUAUUCCUUUGUAAAUGUUAAUUAAACCUUGAGGAUGUUCCAUGACAGAGUUUGAUACAGCUAUUGCCACCAUUAUACAGAGUUCUAAUAGCAUCAACAACAACAAAAAGCCCAAACUUCAAAUGCUUAAGACAAUCAAAGAUACAAUUGUGACUUGCUGUAUCAAAUGCUUUCUGAAAAUCCCAAAAUAGGAUAACAGGGAAGUCAUCCAAUAAUCACAAUACUCAACCAAGUCUAACACCAGCUUCAGAUUAUUAGAUAUACUGUAUGGCAUCCUUUCAUAAACCCUGAUUGACAUUCAUCAAUCAGAUCAUUCAAGCAAGACUAACCUUUUUUGCAAAGAUUAAGGCUAUAAUUUUGUAGUCGUUAUUUAGGAGUGUGAUUGGAUGCCAAUUAUCAAUAUUUAAGAGAUCCUUGUGUGGUUUAGGUAUAAGAGUAAUAACCCCUUAUAACCCUUUGCUUCAGAGAGGCAGGUAGUUCUCCCUUCUUUAUAGCCUCCUUAAAGGUUUCAAGUAAAAAUGGUGAUAUUUCUUCAGAGAAGGUUUUGUAAAAUUCAGAGGUUAAUCCAUCACAACCUGGAGAUUUGUUAUUUUUUAACUGAGCAUCCCCGUACUGGAUGUCCAUAAUGGAUAAAUCUUGACAACAAGACCAAUUGAAUUCUUCACUAACUGAAUUAACAUUCUCUAUAGAAUCAAGGAGAUCCUUAGAGUCACUCAAAUUGUUAUCUAAGGAGUAAAGAUUCUCAUAAAACUUAGUGGUAAAGUCUGAUAACAACUCUCUUUCCUCAGAGGUUACCCCAUUAAUCUUAAAUUUCCGAAGUGUGUUGAGUUCCCCUCUCCUCUUUUCCAAAUUAAAACAGUAUCUACAGUUAUUUUUGCCUUUUUCAAGCCAUUGUUUUCUGGAUCUUAUGAAAGCUCCUCUAGCCUUUUCCUCAUACAAUGUAUCUAGUUGAUUCUGUAAUUCAUUCAAUUUAGCUUUCUCAUUAAGAUCAAGAUGCUCAAUCUCUGUGAUAUCCACAAUUGUCUUAGAGAGUUCAGCUACCUCACAUCUCCUUCUUAAAGCAAGCCAUUUUCCAUAAGCAAUACAGGCUGAGCGGAUUUUAAAUUUCAGCAGUUCCCAAUAUUUCCCUUAUUCUGCAUUAGACGUAGCUAAACUCCAGUAAACAAAAAUUAGAUUCUUAAUCACAUGUUUUAACUCAUCAUGCAAUAACAAUGAGUUAUUUAACUUCCAAUAACCACCAGAGUAUUUCUUACCAUCAUUACUACACAUUCUUAUAGUCAAUCAUAUGACUUUAUGAUUCGUCAGGACUGCAGGCAGUAUUUUUACCUCUACAGUUUUGGGCUCAAGACUAGAGGUUAUCACUCACAAAUACAUUUUUGAUUGUAGAGAACGAUCUCUAUUACUCUAUGUGUAUUAUUUCUCUCCAGGGUUUUUAACUCUCCAUAUGUCAAUUAAGUCCAGGCUUUGGCAGAAAUUCACCAACUUGUUCACACCAAUGUUAGGCCUAUGGGGCAAUCUAUCAGUCUCAUUAGAAUAAACCAUAUUAAAAUCUCCAACUAUAAUCUGACUGGAUGGAUAUUUUCUCAGAUUACUUAAGAAUUUCUUCAAUUUCCUCUAGAAGUAAGUUAUAUGGAGGACUAGAACAGUAAACAUAUACAUUACACAACACAAAUAAUCUGUCCAUGUGGUUGAUGACCGCUACAAAAAUGUCCCUUUUUUGAGUGGGAUAAAAGUUAAGGUUACUCAGAGCAAGCUAAAAUCUCGUCUGCACUCGCCACCAUCUUCAGCUCCCCCUUGACAUCAAUGAAGUGAGUUAGUGAGAUAUUUAACAUUUCUUCUUCAUUAUGGAGAAUGACUAGUUCUCAAAACGAACAUUUCUCCGUCUCAUCGUUUUACCCUAUUAAUUCAUAUAUUGCAUUUUUGAACAUUACAUACGACUCAAUAUUGAGGUUACUUGGUUAAUUACAUAGUCCAUGAGUUUGAUGUUUGAAGGCAGUUUUAACUGAGUGAAAAAAUGGUUGGUAUUUUCCACAUUGUAAUUCAAUUAAUGGAGUUAGGCUAGGUUGCUAAUGGUUUACAUGAAUGAGAAGGGAUUAACAUGGCAUUCAAACUUUUCUUUUCAACGUUUUAGAUCCAAUUUGUUUUAUUUUCUAUAAACAAAGGCUCAGUUUACUUUAAGUAAUAUAUCUAAAUAUGUGAUGGCACGAUGUGUUAGUGUUAAUAUUUGUACAAAAAUGGAGUUUAACAGUUUGCUAGCUUGAUGCUAACCAAAUGUAGCUUGGCUAAACGCUAUAGCGCUAUAGUUGGCUCUAGCCUAGUUGGUUUUAGCCAAUGUCAGUUUUUAAUGUAAUGGUUGUAGUGUAAUGGUGUAAUUAAAUUGUUAUAUUCCUGCAUAGAUUGGGUAUUAUGCCACCUCCUGGUGGAUUAGUGUGUUUACAUUGUCUAAAAUACACAGUGAUAAAGUAUGGUAUUCUGUGUAAUUGUAACGGAUGUGAAAUGGCUAGUUAGUUAGCGGUGGUGUGCUAAUAGCAUUUCAAUCGGUGACGUCACUCGCUUUGAGAUGCUAUUAGCGCGCACCACCACUAACUAAUCCACAGCAGAUCUAUGGAGAAUUGCGGUGGGUGAGUUGAAAAUUGAAUGGUCCCGGGAUAUAAAUGUAUGAAGAUGACAUUACAUCAAAAAUGUAUGCUAUUAGUAACUGAUGUUGUCGGUUUGGCGUCAAAUAAGCAUCUCUUUAUAUGUUAUUUGCCGAAUCUCAGUUAGCCAUGUAAGGUUUUAUGCUAGCUAAAGUUCCGUCUUUGAAGUUGGUAGUGAACUUAAAAAUGCAUCUUCUUUAGGAGUGCUAUUUAUAUCCCGUCGACAACUAAUCAUUCAUCCAUACUGUGUGUCCCAUGAUUACAGGUCAUUUAUGACAAAUGUAUAAAAAGUAUAUGUUUUAUAAAUUUAUGAGCAUCAGCUAGCAGCAUGUUAGCCUGGUUUUGUUAGCUUAGGAAAAUAUGUGGUACAUUUUAGGUAUAUUGUAUUUCUUCGCCACAAGAGUGUAGCGGUGAGUAAUUUCUCAGGUUAAUAUGAUAUAUUUUGAAUACUAAAAUGAAUGAUAGUUUAGUCUGAUGUUGUGAAUAUGAGAUUACACAUGGAAAGAAUAUUUAUUUUUAUUAUAGUAAAUGAGGAAUUAUUAGAAAUUGCUAAAUCCACUAUACGGUCAUAAUGACUUUGAGACAUUUCAAUUGUUCUUUUGUUAGAGCAGAUCUGUGGAGAAUUGCUGUGGGAGUGCUAUUUAUAUCCCGUCAACUACUCAUCAUUCAUCCAUACUGUGUGUUUCCCAUGAUUGCAGCUUUGGAAAUAAAUAAACUAUACAUCCAUUACUC
Long non-coding RNA from Oncorhynchus nerka (sockeye salmon), 6916 nucleotides. RefSeq lists it as uncharacterized. The record is from RefSeq and is a predicted model, not a curated record. The transcript is spliced from 2 exons. NCBI's taxonomy places the organism in Eukaryota, Metazoa, Chordata, Actinopteri, Salmoniformes, Salmonidae.